GACGAACGCUGGCGGCGUGCCUAACACAUGCAAGUCGAACGGAACUGUUUUGAAAGAUUUCUUCGGAAUGAAUUUGAUUUAGUUUAGUGGCGGACGGGUUAGUAACGCGUGAGUAACCUGCCUUCAAGAGGGGAAUAACAUUCUGAAAAGAAUGCUAAUACCGCAUGACAUAUCGGAACCACAUGGUUUUGAUAUCAACGAUUUUAUCGCUUGAAGAUGGACUCGCGUCCGAUUAGUUAGUUGGUGAGGUAACGGCUCACCAAGACCGCGAUCGGUAGCCGGACUGAGAGGUUGAACGGCCACAUUGGGACUGAGACACGGCCCAGACUCCUACGGGAGGCAGCAGUAGGGGAUAUUGCGCAAUGGGGGCAACCCUGACGCAGCAACGCCGCGUGAAGGAUGAAGGUUUUCGGAUUGUAAACUUCUUUUAUUAAGGACGAAAAAUGACGGUACUUAAUGAAUAAGCUCCGGCUAACUACGUG
This 482-nucleotide ribosomal RNA is filed under the name uncultured bacterium. Its description in RNAcentral is "partial 16S ribosomal RNA". It matches the Rfam family "Bacterial small subunit ribosomal RNA", at positions 28 to 507 of the family's 1533-position model. The record is from RNAcentral.